UGAUCAGAAGCUGAAUUGUAAGCAUCUAGCUGUUAAUUAGAAGGUUGUAGAAUUAAAACUUUACCUGAUCAG
RNAcentral lists this transfer RNA (72 nucleotides) under Clithon retropictum. RNAcentral describes it as "tRNA-Asn". It matches the Rfam family "tRNA". Rfam says of the family: Transfer RNA (tRNA) molecules are approximately 80 nucleotides in length. Their secondary structure includes four short double-helical elements and three loops (D, anti-codon, and T loops). The record is from RNAcentral. Lineage: Eukaryota; Metazoa; Mollusca; Gastropoda; Cycloneritida; Neritidae.